Non-coding RNA from Macaca mulatta (Rhesus monkey), 72 nucleotides. The record is from Rfam. Lineage: Eukaryota; Metazoa; Chordata; Mammalia; Primates; Cercopithecidae.
UCCCUGGUGGUCUAGUGGCUAGGAUUCGGCGCUUUCACCGCUGCGGCCCGGGUUCGAUUCCCGGUCAGGGAA